Molecule: ribosomal RNA, 254 nt
Filed under: uncultured bacterium
Lineage: Bacteria
Description: partial 16S ribosomal RNA
Rfam family: Bacterial small subunit ribosomal RNA
Source: RNAcentral
UACGUAGGGUGCGAGCGUUGUCCGGAAUUAUUGGGCGUAAAGAGCUCGUAGGCGGUGUGUCACGUCGUUCGUGAAAACCUGCAGCUUAACUGUGGGCGUGCGGUCGAUACGGGCAUCACUGGAGUUCGGCAGGGGAGACUGGAAUUCCUGGUGUAGCGGUGAAAUGCGUAGAUAUCAAGUGGAACACCAGUGGCGAAGGCGAGUCCCUGGACAACUCCUGACACUGAGGCACGAAAGCUAGGGGAGCAAACAGG